Molecule: ribosomal RNA, 447 nt
Filed under: uncultured bacterium
Lineage: Bacteria
Description: bacterial SSU rRNA
Rfam family: Bacterial small subunit ribosomal RNA
Source: RNAcentral
GUCCAGACUCCUACGGGAGGCAGCAGUGGGGAAUAUUGCACAAUGGGGGAAACCCUGAUGCAGCGACGCCGCGUGAGCGAAGAAGUACCUCGGUAUGUAAAGCUCUAUCAGCAGGGAAGAAAGUGACAGUACCUGACUAAGAAGCCCCGGCUAACUACGUGCCAGCAGCCGCGGUAAUACGUAGGGGGCAAGCGUUAUCCGGAUUCACUGGGCGUAAAGGGAGCGCAGGCGGCACGGCAAGUCUGAUGUGAAAGCCCGGGGCUCAACCCCGGGACUGCAUUGGAAACUGCCGGGCUGGAGUGUCGGAGGGGUAAGCGGAAUUCCUAGUGUAGCGGUGAAAUGCGUAGAUAUUAGGAGGAACACCAGUGGCGAAGGCGGCCUGCUGGACUGCAACUGACGUUGAGGCUCGAAGGCGUGGGGAGCAAACAGGAUUAGAUACCCUAGUAC